Molecule: ribosomal RNA, 375 nt
Filed under: uncultured organism
Description: partial 16S ribosomal RNA
Rfam family: Bacterial small subunit ribosomal RNA
Source: RNAcentral
GUAGGUGGCAAGCGUUGUCCGGAAUUAUUGGGCGUAAAGCGCGCGCAGGUGGUUCUUUAAGUCUGAUGUGAAAGCCCCCGGCUCAACCGGGGGAGGGUCAUUGGAAACUGGGGAACUUGAGUGCAGGAGAGGAAAGUGGAAUUCCACGUGUAGCGGUGAAAUGCGUAGAUAUGUGGAGGAACACCAGUGGCGAAGGCGACUUUCUGGCCUGUAACUGACACUGAGGCGCGAAAGCGUGGGGAGCAAACAGGGAUUAGAUACCCUGGUAGUCCACGCCGUAAACGAUGAGUGCUAAGUGUUGGGGGGGUUUCCGCCCCCUCAGUGCUGCAGCUAACGCAUUAAGCACUCCGCCCUGGGAGUACGGUCGCAAGACUG